RNAcentral lists this ribosomal RNA (684 nucleotides) under Streptococcus sanguinis. RNAcentral's name for it is "bacterial SSU rRNA". It matches the Rfam family "Bacterial small subunit ribosomal RNA", at positions 81 to 753 of the family's 1533-position model. Lineage: Bacteria; Bacillati; Bacillota; Bacilli; Lactobacillales; Streptococcaceae. The record is from RNAcentral.
CUCUUCUUGGAUGAGUUGCGAACGGGUGAGUAACGCGUAGGUAACCUGCCUGGUAGCGGGGGAUAACUAUUGGAAACGAUAGCUAAUACCGCAUGAAAUUGCUUAUCGCAUGAUAAUUAAUUGAAAGAUGCAAUUGCAUCACUACCAGAUGGACCUGCGUUGUAUUAGCUAGUUGGUGAGGUAACGGCUCACCAAGGCGACGAUACAUAGCCGACCUGAGAGGGUGAUCGGCCACACUGGGACUGAGACACGGCCCAGACUCCUACGGGAGGCAGCAGUAGGGAAUCUUCGGCAAUGGGGGGAACCCUGACCGAGCAACGCCGCGUGAGUGAAGAAGGUUUUCGGAUCGUAAAGCUCUGUUGUAAGAGAAGAACGGGUGUGAGAGUGGAAAGUUCACACUGUGACGGUAUCUUACCAGAAAGGGACGGCUAACUACGUGCCAGCAGCCGCGGUAAUACGUAGGUCCCGAGCGUUGUCCGGAUUUAUUGGGCGUAAAGCGAGCGCAGGCGGUUAGAUAAGUCUGAAGUUAAAGGCUGUGGCUUAACCAUAGUAUGCUUUGGAAACUGUUUAACUUGAGUGCAGAAGGGGAGAGUGGAAUUCCAUGUGUAGCGGUGAAAUGCGUAGAUAUAUGGAGGAACACCGGUGGCGAAAGCGGCUCUCUGGUCUGUAACUGACGCUGAGGCU